This 831-nucleotide ribosomal RNA is filed under the name uncultured bacterium. RNAcentral describes it as "bacterial SSU rRNA". It matches the Rfam family "Bacterial small subunit ribosomal RNA", at positions 33 to 843 of the family's 1533-position model. The record is from RNAcentral.
ACGCUGGCGGCGUGGCUAAGACAUGCAAGUCGAACGGACUAUACAAUUGAGUAAUCGAGAGUAUAGUUAGUGGCGAAAGGGUUAGUAAUGGAUAGGUAACGUACCCUUGUGCUUCGGGAUAGCGUCUGAUUGCUUCGGCAAUCUUCCGAAAGGGGCGGUAAUACCGAAUAAUAUCAUGUGUUGAUAGGCAUAUGAUCAAAGAUUUAUCGGCAUAGGAGCGGCCUAUCUCCUAUCAGCUUGUUGGUGAGGUAAAAGCUCACCAAGGCUUUGACGGGUAGCGGGACUGAGAGGUUGACCCGCAACAUCGGGACUGAGACACUGCCCGGACCUCCACGGAGGGCUGCAGUAACGAAUCUUGCGCAAUGGGCGAAAGCCUGACGCAGCGACGCCGCGUGUAGGAAGAAGUCCUUCGGGAUGUAAACUACUGUCAGGGAUAUAAAAGUUCACUUCGGUGGAUUGAUCUGUCCCAGAGGAAGUCACGGCUAACUUCGUGCCAGCAGCCGCGGUAAGACGAAGGUGGCUAGCGUUGUUCGGUGUCACUGGGCUUAAAGCGUGUGCAGGCGGAAAAGUAAGCGUCUUGUGAAAGCCCUCGGCUUAGCCGAGGAACUGCUGGACGAACUACUUUUCUUGAGGCAGGCAGGGGUGCACGGAAACUCUUGGUGGAGCGGUGAAAUGCGUAGAUAUCAAGAGGAACGCCAGUGGUGAAGACGGUGCACUGGGCCUGAUCUGACGCUCAGACACGAAAGCGUGGGGAGCGAACGGGAUUAGAUACCCCGGUAGUCCACGCCGUAAACGAUGUCUACUAGGUUGUGGGAGUUCUGACGCUAUCAC